Molecule: ribosomal RNA, 330 nt
Filed under: uncultured bacterium
Lineage: Bacteria
Description: bacterial SSU rRNA
Rfam family: Bacterial small subunit ribosomal RNA
Source: RNAcentral
CGUGUAGGCGGUGCGGUAAGUUGGGCGUGAAACUCCCCGAGCUUAACUCGGGUGGGCCGUUCAAGAACUGCCGUGCUAGGGUGCGGGAGAGGGAAGUGGAAUUUCCGGUGUAGCGGUGAAAUGCGUAGAUAUCGGGAGGAACACCUGCGGCGAAGGCGGCUUCCUGGACCGUAACCGACGCUGAGGCGCGAAAGCUAGGGGAGCAAACAGGAUUAGAUACCCUGGUAGUCCUAGCCCUAAACGAUGAGCACUGGGUGUGGCCCCUCACGAGGCCGUGCCGAAGCUAACGCAUUAAGUGCUCCGCCUGGGGAGUACGGUCGCAAGGCUGAA